UACGUAGGGUGCAAGCGUUGUCCGGAAUUAUUGGGCGUAAAGAGCUCGUAGGCGGUCUGUCGCGUCUGCUGUGAAAACUCAGGGCUUAACCCUGAGCUUGCAGUGGGUACGGGCAGACUAGAGUGCGGUAGGGGAGACUGGAAUUCCUGGUGUAGCGGUGGAAUGCGCAGAUAUCAGGAGGAACACCAAUGGCGAAGGCAGAUCUCUGGGCCGUAACUGACGCUGAGGAGCGAAAGCAUGGGGAGCGAACAGG
This 253-nucleotide ribosomal RNA is filed under the name uncultured bacterium. RNAcentral describes it as "partial 16S ribosomal RNA". It matches the Rfam family "Bacterial small subunit ribosomal RNA", at positions 524 to 776 of the family's 1533-position model. The record is from RNAcentral.